AUGAUGAGAAGCAGCGCCGUCGCUUCUGAGGAGCCGCCGGCCGUUCUUCUUCCUCCACCGACGACACGUGUACCUCCAGAUCUCAACAAGUUUAAGGGGCAUGGCAUGUUGGCACCAUUCGCUGUUGUAUGGCAGAGCAAUGAUGUGCAUCCAUUGGUUAUUGAGAGAUUUGAGGGUUCUUAUGUUUAUGACAUCAAUGGGAAUAAAUAUCCAGAUUCUCUAGUAGGACUGUGGUAUACAACUUUAGGUAUGUAA
Molecule: ribosomal RNA, 255 nt
Filed under: Triticum aestivum (bread wheat)
Lineage: Eukaryota; Viridiplantae; Streptophyta; Magnoliopsida; Poales; Poaceae
Description: partial small subunit ribosomal RNA
Source: RNAcentral